CUCCCGCCUUCUUCUCAGCGGUGCGUAUCCUCUAAGACACCUCUGUCCCGCGGAGGAUUAUUUAUUUAUUCGCUGAGCUCUCGGAGGCCAUUUGAUUCUCCACGCUGAGAAGCACCGGAGCGCUAUACCAGUCUAACCACCUGUAGCUCUACACGCACCCAGAAAAAAACAAACUGCCGGCCGGCGACAAGCGCGAUGACCUCCGCGCGCCGCGUCAUGCGCACUACGAUUGCCGCUGCCGAACUGCUGGAGGUUCUGGAAGGGAAGCGCUAAAGUGGCUCCGGCUCAUUCGUGCAGGAUGGACUCGGAGAGGACGCUGGCUGCAGCACGACAGGGAGAUCUAGACGCCCUGAAACAGCUGCAUCGGGAUCGAGGGUUGCUUGCAGAAGUGCGAGAUCCGCUUGGGGCUACUUUGGUGCACCACGCAGCCCGUGCUGGGCGACUGAGCUGCGUUCGAUACUUAGUGGAAGACGCGGGACUGUCCGGCUUCAGCCGUGCCAGGAACGGAGCGAGUCCCGCACAUGACGCGGCAGCCACGGGUAACCUGGGGUGUCUGCAGUGGCUUCUGAACCUGGGUGGCUGUAGAGCGAAGGAUAGGGAUAACUCUGGGGCCACAGUAUUACACCUUGCAGGCCGCUUUGGCCAUCAUGAGAUUACAGACUGGCUCCUAAGGAGUGGGGAAGGGGACCCCAAUGCUGUGACAGACACUGGAGCCCUUCCUGUCCACUAUGCUGCAGCCAAAGGAGACCUUGCCUCACUAAGACUUCUUUUGGAGCAUAAUCCCAGUGUGAUCAAUGCCCAAACAAAAAAUGGUGCCACUCCCCUGUAUCUGGCCUGUCAGGAAGGUCACCUUGAGGUUGUCCAAUACCUGGUGAAGGACCGUGGUGCGGGGCCACAUAUAAGAGCCAAUGAUGGGAUGACACCUCUCCAUGCAGCCGCCCAAAUGGGUCACAACACAAUCAUUGUAUGGCUGAUGAGUUUCACAGAUAUUAGUCUGUCUGACCCAGAUGAUGAUGGUGCCAGUGCUAUGCAUUUUGCUGCCAGUCGAGGCCAUGCAAAAGUCCUCAGCUGGCUCCUCCUUCAUGGUGGAGAAAUUUCAAGGGACAAUUGGGGGGGCACACCACUCCAUGACGCUGCUGAAAAUGGUGAACUUGAAUGUUGUCAGAUAUUAGUGGUGAACGGAGUGGACCUUGGAAUCAAAGAUCAUGAUGGUUAUUCUGCUGCUGACCUAGCAGAAUAUAAUGGACACUCCCAGUGUGCCAAGUAUCUGCGCACAGUGGAGAAUAUGAGUGUGGAGCACAGAGUACUUUCUCGAGACCCCUCUGCUGACCUGGAGUUCAAGCAGCCUGAUUCAGGGAUGUCCUCACCCAACACAACAAUGUCGUCCACAGCCCAGCAAAUGCGAUAUGACAUUGGUUCGCCCACCAGCACUUUGUCCAACUAUGAUUCCUGCAACUCAAGCCAGUCUAGCACAGGAGAGAAGAGGGGAGCCAACCCCACUGCAAGCAGAGGUGCAGGGAUGCCAGAAACUGCCAUUACUGAUAUGCAGACAUAUAUGGACAUGUUGAACCCAGAACUAGGUGCAGGAGGCCAAAAGAAAUCUUCAUUAAAUCCUGGUGCAGCACCCCCUCCUCCCCCGCCUAGCUUUCCUCCCCCUCCUCCUCCAGCUUCUGCCAUUCCCCCUCCUCCCCCUACAUAUCCUGCUCCAAACCCACCUGACGGUCAGCCAUCUGCCGAGAUCUACCUACAGGUGAAGAAUAAUCUACGGCAUGUGGAGAGUGAUACUAUAAAGAAUGAGCUGGUUCCAGAAAACUGCACCCCAGAGAGGUUACGACGGGCUGACUCCAACAGAAAGUCCAGAAACUUCAACAAGCAGCCCAGCACAGGAGAUUACUACAAAUCGCUCAGCUCUGACGUGACGGCCAAGCGUGGGAACAAGACGAUGGCCCCGGAAGAGGAGGUAGAGCGUGAGAUCAGGGGUUCACCCAUGCUAGAGGAGGCAAUGGAGAGGGGAAACAGUCUAGACAAUGAUGCCAUAGAUGGCCAGCCUGGCCCUCCUCCUCCACCCCCACCCCUUCCAGAGAGCCGUCCAACCCCUCCCCCACCUCCUCCACUCCCUACUGACUGCACCCAGACUAGCACAGACCAGCGGCGUCCAUCUUCAUCUUCUGGAAAUGUGAUUGCACUCAGACAAAUGAAAAGUUCAAAAUCAUUCAACAUGAUGUCCCCUACUGGUGAUAAUUCUGAACUGUUAGCAGAAAUUAAGGCCGGAAAAAGCCUAAAGCCAACUCCUCAAAAUAAAGGCUACACAACAGUUUUCUCAGGCAGUGGGCAGCCUGUGCACAGUGCGGAGCCACCAAUAUCUCCUGCUCCAGUAAGUCCAACAGUUCAGCCGUCAUCCCCUAGUGCCAGCCUGCCUGCAACACCCUCUGCUCCACCUUGUGAUAGCCUGCCAAGCCUGAAAUCCAGCAGUGAGCAGGGUAGCUGUUCUGUGGUAAAUGGCUGGGCUGAGUCAAAGAUGCCCAAUUCUGGUAGUCUGGCAGACGUCGAGUCUUUGGUGCCUACACAUGAUGAGCAGGGCCGGCCCAUCCCUGAGUGGAAGAGGCAGGUCAUGGUCCGCAAACUGCAGCUCAAGAUACAAGAAGAGGAAGAGCAGAAACGCAAGGAGAAAGAGGAAGAGGCACGCUUAGCAGCAAUGCCAGCCUGGAGAAGAGAAAUUGUAAAGAAGAAGCUGGAAGAAGAAAAAGAGCAGAAAAGGUAAGAAUCAUAUUCCUUAAGGUGCAUUUUCCAGUAUGUUGCUUCUACAUUUACAACCAGUAGCUGGCAGUAUUUGAUCACAGGAUUCAGCUUUCCUUCUGGCCAUUACAACGCUGUCUGGUCAUGUUAUGCGAUAACCUUGUUCUGCAUUAAACUUCAAGUGUUUCACACCUCUGUUGUCAGAAGACGAUAGUUUAUUUCCUGUAUGUUCUUUUAUUUAUUAUUAUUAUUAUGGUUGCCUCUCUGGUAUAAGUAAUAUUUUGUGAUCUUUUCAAAAAGACACCUGUUUUUGAUUAGUGUUCUGAUAUGCUAUAUUAGUCAGUGAUUCCUCUAAUAAGACCAUUAACACAUCCUUUGAGUUUAUCGCAGUGAACUGUAGCACAAAUGUACUUUAUAUUUAAUAGAAUACAUACCAGCAGAAGUAGCAGAAUGUGCAGCCCUUCAUAUUAAAAAUAGCCUAUUGGUCAGCACAUUUCUUCUAGCUGUUAAUCGUUAAAGUAAUAUUGACAUGACAUCACUGCUGCUCAAGCAUCACUGUACAACUGCACAAGAAGGAAAUGCACGGAAAAAAAGACUUCACAUCCUUAUCCAACUACCAUGGUAACGUUUCAGUUUACUGUAACUUUCAAGAUUCUCCUGCUUAAUCACAGAACACUGCAGAACCUGGGACCCAAGUUCCUGUCCACCUUGCUGACCCACUCUCUCCCUGUGUACUCAGUGGGGUCCUCCAACAACAGCCUUCCUGCCUUCCCGGAGCAAAAGCGAGUAACCCUUAGGAAAAAAGAGGAAGAAAGGCUAAAGAAAGAAAAGCAAGAAGAGGAAAAAGCACAGCUAGAAAAAUUACGAACCCUUGGCUAUGAUGAAACAAAGCUUGCACCCUGGCAGCGGCAGGUUAUCCUAAAGAAAGGUGACAUAUCCAAGCAUUAAGAGAAGAGCAGGAUGGGGACGCAUCCUUUCUGGCUGUGUGUCACUGAAAACCAAAUCUGCGCUGUUUUGUGGAGAAGGGCAGUCUUUUUCUGCCUCUUGCUACCUGUGUCAGAGUGGUAAAAUUAAAAUCAAGACCAGUAGGCUGCAGUGAGAUCUGUAGCUUUCACAAAAAGCAAAGACUUUAUGAAUCCGAUCAUUACCCUUUUGGGACAUGACUAUUAUCUUAGUUAAGUAUAAAAAUUUAAGUGGAUGCUUUAUAUGGAGAAGCCUCCAUUUGCCUUUUUAAGUAAGAUAUCAGCCCUUAAAUCCUCUGCCCUUUUAAUAUUUCCCCUUACUCUUACCUCAUCGCCCAUUGUUCCUGUUUGUAAGAAACUAUUGCUUCAGGAAGAUUUCUUCUGUCAUAAUUUGGGAAAAGGAAAUUCUACAAGUUUCUUUUUCAUGACACUAUACAGCCAACCAACACAUCUUAUCCAUGGCUUGUAAGAGUCUGAAAUAAAUUCAGUCACUUAUAAAAUCCAGCUUCUGGCAAAUAUUCUCUCUGCUGUUCCAGAAAGCAGCAUAUGAGAAUGUAAGAGAUAAAAGUCGUUAGUUAUUUACUGAGUUCUUCAGUAGACUGGCAGCAAGACAUGCUGAAGUAGAAUGAGCCAGCAGCCAUUAGUAACCUUUAAGCUACAGCUACAUUUUCUCUGUUUUGUUCAUUUCAAAAUUCUGUCAGCUAUAGCCAAACAUGACAGAGUGUACAACUCAUGGUGUUUUUUUUUUUUUUUUUAAUCUUACCUGGUUUAAAUGCAGUACAACUCUGUACAUCAUUUUAUUGCUUAUAAUGGCUGGGUACAUAAAUUUAAAGUUUAACAUAGUCAAUUCACCAAAAAUUGUGGUGAGAAUGGCCUUUAAAUGAUUUGCUUUUUUACAUACUCUGUCUUAUAUGUAGCUGAAAAUGUGAACGACUCUCUAUACACUUAGAUCUCAAGUGGCACAUAUGUUGUGCAAAAUAAAGUCCGUUUUGAUUGGCAUGAGACCAUAAAUGAAUUUAGACAGUGCUUGGGCUAGCAGUGGUGUAACAUGCUUGCUGAAGUAACCUAGGCUGAAAGUGUUAGCAAAAGUUGUGCUAAGGCCCCUACUUAGGUCCAUUUGUCAGUGUCAGAGCUGUGUGAUAAACAAAGGAGAACCAUGAUUCCUGGAAUAAGGCCUUGUAGUUGCUUUCACUGGCAUUUGGCUCAAAUACUACACUUACCUUUAAAGGACUUCUUUAAGUUUCCAUGUUGAAGUCUUUGCGUCCUACCAUGGCAUCAUAGUGCCUGGACCUUGCUCAGGAGUAGAUUGCCUCAUUCCAAAGUUUUCUUGGGAUACGCUUGGAAACCUUGCACAGAUCAAUUGACCCUGCCAGCUACACUUUUAAUACACACAAUUUGCUCUUGAUGUACAUUUAUUUUGCAAAUGAAGAUUUAUAUAUUGUAUAGGAGCAUUUCAUGCAGAAUACAGGUAUCUGGUCAAUAAUGCUCAAUAACAUUAAAUUCAUAUCAGUGGAUGCCAUAAUAUUUUUAAGACAAAUGAAAAGCUGAUGCCAUUAGAAAGUUUUCUUUUGCUAAUCUGUAUCUCCUGUUGUCUUGUAAAUGUUAUCAGUCCUUAAUUUUUUGAAGCAUGCUUAAGUAGCUGAUGGAUAUAUUUGUGUAAAAUAAAGAAAUAAAAAGAAAUUAAAUACAUAUUCUUUCUGUAUUUGAAAUUAAAUUAAUCUUUAAAUGUA
Molecule: RNA transcript, 5428 nt
Organism: Erpetoichthys calabaricus (reedfish)
Lineage: Eukaryota; Metazoa; Chordata; Cladistia; Polypteriformes; Polypteridae
Gene: espn
Gene name: espin
Exons: 15
Source: RefSeq, a predicted model, not a curated record